RNAcentral lists this unclassified non-coding RNA (1871 nucleotides) under Leishmania donovani. Its description in RNAcentral is "gene:LdHU3.04.1460(CDS-product:tRNA_nucleotidyltr ansferase_putative)". The record is from RNAcentral. Lineage: Eukaryota; Euglenozoa; Kinetoplastea; Trypanosomatida; Trypanosomatidae.
CGUGGAUUCUGGCCACAGUACAGCGGUCAGGUUUAUCAUCGACGAGGCGGUGAGGCUCUUGCUCUCUCUCACACACACAUACACACAGUCUCUUCCCCUUCCCACCACGCACACCUCUUUUGCCGAGGUGGAUGUUGCCGAGAGUAGUGCGGCUGGAGGCCGCCAUCCCCCCAGCACAUCAGAGCGUGUUUGACUUCCUGCUCAGCGUGGCUGCAGAAAACAAGCUCAAGGCAACGCUGCGUGUAGCGGGUGGGUGGGUGCGGGACAUGUUGCUCGGCUUGCACUCGAACGACAUUGACAUUGCCAUCGAGACCCACGCAGGCACGAAGCUCGUGACAGGUGAAGCCUUCGCCCACCGCGUAUCCGAGUACCAGUUGGCUCACGGCGGCCGGGGCCACACAGUGAGCGUCAUUCGGUCCAACCCGGCCCUCUCCAAGCACAUUGAAACUGCCACGGUACGUGUUCACGAAAUCCCGGUAGAGUUCUGUGCUCUUCGCACGGACGUGUACACAAAUGAGUCGCGCAUUCCCCAAGUGCGCCCGGCGGCUCCCGUGGAGGAUGCGCAGCGCCGAGACUUCACCAUCAACGCUCUCUUCUACAACUUGCACACCGGCAUGGUGGAGGACUACACCACCGGCUUGGAGGACCUGCGUCUGCGCAUCAUUCGGUGCCCGCUGGAGCCGCGGACGACCUUCAUGGACGACCCGCUUCGCCUGCUGCGCGGCGUGCGUUUUGUUGGCCAGCUAGGCGCGCUCAACUUUUCGCUGGAUGAGUCGAUCACCAGCUGCAUGGAUGAUGCCCUGCUUCAAGUGCUUCAGCAGAAGGUGUCUCGGGAGCGUGUCGGGAAGGAGUUUGUGAAGAUGAUGGCGGCCGCUCACCCGGAGCGGUGCAUCGCACUGCUGCAUGACAUGCACAUUCUGCAGCACGUCUUACUUGUCAGUGUGGUGAUGCGGCAGGUGCCCGGCAAGAAGCAGUUGUCAAAUGAGAUUGAGCGAGUGGAGAGGUUGGUAGAUCUUUAUCCGGAUGGAUCUAAGAGGCUGGAGACAGUGAUGCGACUGAGUGCUGUCGGCUUGCCGUGCCUCGCCAAUGUCGGCGUGGCGGCCGAGUUGUCCGAGGGACAGCGAGUGGAGGUGGCUCUCUUCUUUCUCGUCAUUCCUUUCUUUCGUGGUGCGACAGAGAGUGUUGAAGAGACGGUGCGCAAUGUCUGCAUGAAUGGGCUGAAGCUUCCGUUGGCGAGCUGCGACUGUGUGCGACGCUUGAUCGACGCGUACAACCAUCUUCACGCGCAGUCCAUGAGGAUGGAUGAGCUCGUCGCCGAGACGCUUCGUCCCGAAACGGUGAGAAAGGUGUUUGAUGCCUUGAACAUCCUGAGCGACAAGCACGUCUUUCGUCAUGCCCUCCAAGUUGUUCUGCUAGUCUACAUGCUAAUCGAGGAAUCAGCGCACCUACUGUCAGACGGCAGACUACAGCAGGCUACGAGCGACUUCUCCGCGGCGUGGGCGCGGGUCGCCGAGCACCCCGUGUUGUUGGAUGCCUUCCAGCUGAGGCUGCCCAUCAAUGGAAAGGACCUGCAGAAGGUUUACGGUAUUCCACCCAAGAACGUUGGAUCAACACUGCUAAAGAUGCGGCUCAAACUCGUGCUCUGCCCCCGGAUGACGCCUGAAGACGUUGCGCAGUGGCUGGUGGAGGGUGCGCAGGUGUGACUCGGCCGCUGUCGAGCGGGACACCGUCCUUGGUGUCGCAGGAGACUUGAUUCCGGGUCUUAAUCCGCAUGGCAGUUUGUGCAGCUGCGCGGUGCUCACAAAACGGACGUGGUGGCAUUGGCUGCGCCUAGCAGUGUACUGUGGAAAGAAAAGAUAAUCGACACCUCG